Molecule: long non-coding RNA, 1911 nt
Organism: Vanessa atalanta (red admiral)
Lineage: Eukaryota; Metazoa; Arthropoda; Insecta; Lepidoptera; Nymphalidae
Exons: 2
Source: RefSeq, a predicted model, not a curated record
UGGGGUGUGACACAUUGUCGACAUUUUGAAACGUGAUUUAAAUUAAUAAAUUCACUAGAAAUUGUUUCAAUUGCUUUGUUUUGUGUGUUUAGAUUAAAACUGUGUUUAUUUUGGAGGCAUUUCCUAGAGAAAAGUGUUUUUGCUUGGUAAGCUUGACGAAGAACUCACGAAACGACGACUCACGAAAGUACGAAGUAAGCAACGCGAUUAAACCGAGUAAAAAUCAGAAAAUAUUAUAUUAAAAUAAAUUAAUAUAAAGUACGCUUGCGCAAUGGCGGUCGGUGUUAACCAAAAAGGAGUGGCACCAGCGUCCGGCGUGAUGAAGUAUACUAUACACGUGAACGAACAUUCGAAAAAGGAACCGAAGGAGCUGGUGAUGACGAUCGGUCAAACGAAGAAAAUUAUAAAAAUUCUAUCUGUACAAAAAAUUUUUCACGGAUUUAAAGCUAAACCAAAUUCCAUGUAACUUGUUAAGAGGACCCUGGAUGUAGGAUAAGUCUCUAUUUCUGUUAACUGUAAAGUCACAACACUUUUGAAUUGAAACACCUCAGUCACUGGAAUUAUGUAACCUUUACGACUGAAAUUUCCUUUGUUAAAUUUUUCGAUGGUUUCCGCUUUAAUUGGGACUUUGUCAUUGAAGAGACUCUCGACUAAAUGAGACAACUAUUAUUAUUUUAUCAUUUUGAAUAUUGUUCAGAACACGUCUAAACAUAUUAAUAGUUCACAAACACUCGGCUUUUGCAAGCUGGAGUGGACUUAAUGGCAAUGGAAUUAAGCUCUACACACACGAGGACACGUCUGUCUGCGCAAAAACGAAACAUCCGAACACAAAUUUCUAGAAAUCUUAACAGUUUAUAUAAGUUAUGCCAAAACUAUUUUUACACUUGUAUUUAUUUACGAAUUGUUUAAUCAUUGUAUGUUUUAUAUUGUGUACAAACUAUUCUUAUGUUAGUGUCAAAAUAUUAGAGGAUUAAUAUCAAAGAACGAAUAUUUUGAACUGACACGUGUCGAAAUACUUUUUAUUAAAUCAGACGACGGACAGUAACAGCUCGAAAUCCCAUCUCCCACUGCUGGGCAAACAACGGCUUAGGAGAAAAUGCUGCGUUUAUUCUACCACGUUUAUCUUUAUAAUUGUUGUCGAAUUUCAUGGGAAACAUGCGUGUGUCCACAUUAUGGUUUUACCUCAACGCGAAUAGAAAAAGGAUUGUCAGAUCUUCUGGGCCAUCGCGGCUUCCAAACUUUUUUACAGACGUGACCCAAGUUACGGAAUUUAAAGAAAAUUGGACGAGGUUUUCUUGAAGUAGAAAGGUUUUUAUUAGUUAUCGAGUUAAAAAACUAGCAAUGCUUGCCAGAAUUUCGAAACUUCGGUUUAGAUCAAAUCGUUCUAUCGCGGCGGUCGAUCUUUUUUACAUUCGUGAUGGAAAUGUGUCAUCUUUGUUUGAGAGAGAUAAUAAAAAUAAACUGGAGGGGGUUUCCUUGAAAAAGAAAAAUGUUUCAAAACCAAGCUUUCGUGUAUUAAAUUAAAAAAAAUAUGAGUAUGUUAUAUUAUAAUGUCACCGACACCAAAAUAUGCUCUAAAUGACAGCUCGGUCCGUUGAGUGGGAUUGGUUCGAUAUUUUGUUGAAACUUUGAUUGAUUGAUUUUUGUUGUCGAAGAUAAACAAAUCUCCUUAAAACAUCUAUACUAUAUAUUUCUCUGUAUAUGUUCAUAGAGAAUUAUAUUAUAAUGAGUGCCAAUAAACGUCAUAUUAUUAGUGGUGCACACUAAGGCCACACGUGGGUAUGUCUAUACAUUAGACAACUUGCACGAUAGAGUCAGUGUUAUUGAGUUAUCUUAUUGUAAAAUGUAUGUUUUAAUAUGUGUCUGUAUCUGCUCGGAACUAAUCACAAUAAAUGUUGUCUAUGAAUAAUA